RNAcentral lists this transfer RNA (74 nucleotides) under Pseudobacteroides cellulosolvens ATCC 35603 = DSM 2933. RNAcentral describes it as "Bacteroides cellulosolvens ATCC 35603 tRNA". It matches the Rfam family "tRNA". From Rfam's summary of the family: Transfer RNA (tRNA) molecules are approximately 80 nucleotides in length. Their secondary structure includes four short double-helical elements and three loops (D, anti-codon, and T loops). Lineage: Bacteria; Bacillati; Bacillota; Clostridia; Eubacteriales; Oscillospiraceae. The record is from Rfam by way of RNAcentral.
GGGAAUAUAGCUCAGUUGGUUAGAGCACUCGGCUGAUAACCGGGAGGUCAUAAGUUCGAACCUUAUUAUUCCCA